This 253-nucleotide ribosomal RNA is filed under the name uncultured bacterium. Its description in RNAcentral is "partial 16S ribosomal RNA". It matches the Rfam family "Bacterial small subunit ribosomal RNA", at positions 524 to 776 of the family's 1533-position model. The record is from RNAcentral.
UACGUAGGGGGCUAGCGUUGUCCGGAAUCAUUGGGCGUAAAGCGCGUGUAGGCGGUCCGGUAAGUCCGCUGUGAAAGUCGGGGGCUCAACCCUCGAAUGCCGGUGGAUACUGUCGGGCUAGAGUGCGGAAGAGGCGAGUGGAAUUCCUGGUGUAGCGGUGAAAUGCGCAGAUAUCAGGAGGAACACCGGUGGCGAAGGCGGAUCUCUGGGCCUUACCUGACGCUGAGGCGCGAAAGCUAGGGGAGCAAACAGG